Molecule: non-coding RNA, 1711 nt
Organism: Triticum urartu
Lineage: Eukaryota; Viridiplantae; Streptophyta; Magnoliopsida; Poales; Poaceae
Source: RefSeq, a predicted model, not a curated record
CAGUAUAUAAGUAUGUUACCUUCUGUAUAAUGUUGGUGAUUUGUCCAUGGAAAUAUUUAAUUAAACAAUGUUUAUCUUCUGCAUCUUUUUUAUAUCUUUUUACCACGACAGGGAUGGAGCUCUCAGCCGUGUGGAGCUCAAUGUCUUUCAGGUUGUUCUAUGCAGUGUUAUUAGUGUUUUAAUAUAUACUUAUUUGCAUAAGAAGUCUGCAUAGGUUAGUGAUUCCUCUCGGCAAAGGAAAUAUCCUCCCUUCAAUACAACAAAUAAACUAUAUGUUCAUGCGCUAAAUGAAAAUCGUUAGUUCAUUAUUACUACAUUAUUAUCAGCUAUUGAUUUUGUAGUAUUUAUUAAUUAGUAGUGCCUCACUAGGAUGAACAUGUAUUUUCUUCUCCGCAAAAGAAUGAUUUUUCAAUGGUUUUUCCGGGCUGUUUAUUUUUCAGAAAUUGUGACCUGCUGAAUCCUUUUUCCCUUACUGCACACAUGCACUUCAUUUUAAUUUUGUGUGCACUUCCCAACUUGUUAGUGCCAUCGUACCAUGUUUGUUAGCAUGCUUUACUUAUUAUUUGGGCACCUUGGGGUAACAUCUUGCCAAUGUUUGUUCAGAAUCAUGAAUACAUGUUCAAAAGCACUCGAAAUCAUAUUACCUUUCAUUAUGUUGGAAGGAAAAAAUCUUUAAAACUGGAUAUAUGUUUCUUUACCCUGGAAAAGCACCAGUUCAGCAAUUGAUUUUUCCAAAUACAUGUCCUCAGUAUAGUAGUUUUGCAGGAUAUAGGCAACGAUCGGUACUUGAUAGAAGACAUGACAAGGCUCCCUGACUUACAUGCUUGCCCCUGACUGUGAUGUCAAACGAACAUUGCUUUGGCGCCAACUCAUUCCACAUUCUGAAAGUGUGCACUGGUGCAUACCUAGACUUGAUUGCCAGUUGCUCUACUCUAGGUGUUCGUUUAAUACUAAUACCUUGUCUUCAAACUUUAACCGUGGAAUUUAUAUGGCUCGUGUAAGUGCUAAUACUUUCAUCUUCAAGUUUAGCAAAGUGACAUACUAUUUAUUUUCUAAUGUAUGUGAGGAUAUAUGGUGCUUUAUUGCCUGGCAGGCUCAAUCUUGAUGACACAAUUAGAGUAAGUACUUGGAGAAAAUUUUAUUAGUUACGAUAUCUUUUUUAAGAGGUUUCAUUCACAGUGAAGUCCAAAGGCACAGACUCCAUGCCCAUCGAGUUGCAUUUGUGAUCAGCCAACACACUGGAAAACUGAGAAACUUGUGCUCGAUCGCCUCCAAGAAGUAGAAAUUAGUGAACUAUCAUGAUUUUGUGCAACAGUUAUUCAGUUGGGCAACAGCCUUAAAAAAGUUGACAAUAUCUUUUCACCACUUGAUCGCGAAAUCUAGGCCAACGGGUUGUGCCAGAUGUUACGAAGCUUGUUCACAUUGGAACUAGGUAUCGAAUUUUAUGUGCACCGCUGCUUGGUGGGGAAAGUUUUGUAUGUUUCUGGAGAUUAAAACACUGAUUUAUCAAUUCUCUUCGCAAGCUUCUGGUUUGUGUGGUCUUGUUGUUCGCAUGCUCAGGAGUCAGGAGUGGUGACGAAUUCAUGUUGUGAGAAUAUGUCGAUGCUGUUGAGACUGUCUUUCUAGAAUGUGUGUUUAUCUCUGUAAUCUGUAUGAAACUAUGGAUUCUAAUUAAUUUGCUAAAAUAGUAGCAGCUUACCCUGAUUUCUAA